This 282-nucleotide ribosomal RNA is filed under the name uncultured prokaryote. RNAcentral describes it as "partial 16S ribosomal RNA". It matches the Rfam family "Bacterial small subunit ribosomal RNA", at positions 524 to 803 of the family's 1533-position model. The record is from RNAcentral.
AACGUAGGAGGCAAACGUUAUCCGGAUUUACUGGGCGUAAAGCGCGUGUAGGUGGUUUGGUAAGUAGGGCGUGAAAGCUCCUGGCUCAACUGGGAGAGGUCGUUCUAAACUGCCGAGCUAGAGGAUGGUAGAGGGAGGUGGAAUUCCGGGUGUAGCGGUGGAAUGCGCAGAUAUCCGGAGGAACACCAGUGGCGAAAGCGGCCUCCUGGACCACUCCUGACACUCAGACGCGAAAGCUAGGGUAGCAAACGGGAUUAGAUACCCGCGUAGUCCCUGAGCGGG